CGGAGGGUGCGAGCGUUGUCCGGAAUCAUUGGGCGUAAAGGGCGCGUAGGUGGCCUGCUAAGCGUGCGGUGAAAGCUCGGGGCUCAACCCCGAGUCGGCCGUGCGAACUGGUGGGCUUGAGCACUGUAGAGGCAGGCGGAAUUCCGGGUGUAGCGGUGGAAUGCGUAGAGAUCCGGAAGAACACCGGUGGCGAAGGCGGCCUGCUGGGCAGUAGCUGACACUGAGGCGCGACAGCGUGGGGAGCAAACAGGAUUAGAUACCCUGGUAGUCCACGCCGUAAACGAUGGGCACUAGGCGCUUGGGGGAGCGACCCCCCGAGGGCCGGCGCUAACGCAUUAAGUGCCCCGCCUGGGGAGUACGGCCGCAAGGCUG
This 372-nucleotide ribosomal RNA is filed under the name uncultured organism. RNAcentral describes it as "bacterial SSU rRNA". It matches the Rfam family "Bacterial small subunit ribosomal RNA", at positions 526 to 896 of the family's 1533-position model. The record is from RNAcentral.